UCGGAACAGGUGGCUUCAUGGUCAAUGAU
Molecule: non-coding RNA, 29 nt
Filed under: Homo sapiens (human)
Lineage: Eukaryota; Metazoa; Chordata; Mammalia; Primates; Hominidae
Source: RNAcentral